CUCCGGGGCCGGCGCGCGCUCCCACCGCGCACAACCCACGAGCGCUCAGCGCCGCGCGCGACGGCCACAGCCGGGUCAGAAAAGUGGACGCCGCACCCCGGGCUUUCUGGGAGCGGAACGCACAGGUCGGCCCCGCGGCCCGGCUCGCCCUCUUCUCGCUGCCCCUGCGCACCGAUUCUCUCCGGGAAUCGUCCACAAGAGCCCGAGUCCGCCCUCUCCUUCCGGCAGCGGCCGCGCCGAGCCCGCGGCCCUGGACGCCCGCCCCACCAAGUGCCGGCGCAGCCCGGAGAAUCCGCCGCCCCAAGUUCGCCCGAGCACUGAGGCAUUUGGCACUUGGCGGACAGCGAGUCGGCUGAAUUUUGUCUCACCUUCAUAUGUUGAAGUCCUAAACGCGAGUACCUCAAAAUGUGACUGUAUUUGGAAAUUGGGUCUUUAAAGAGGUGGCGCUAGUGGUAAAGAACCCGCCUGCCAAUGCAGGAGAUGCAAGAGAUGUAGGUUCGAUACCUGGGUCACGAAGAUCCCCUGGAGUAGGAAAAGGCAAC
Long non-coding RNA from Bos taurus (domestic cattle), 542 nucleotides. Lineage: Eukaryota; Metazoa; Chordata; Mammalia; Artiodactyla; Bovidae. The record is from Ensembl.